UUAUGAACUUUCAUUAUAAAACUGACCUGAGUUCACCUAAACUUAUUAGACACUGGUCAUGUGAUCAACUCCCCCUAGUGGUGAACCAUCGGAUUUUCGAAACGUUUCGAAACAGUUAUGACGUAACGAAGCCUCGUUUGCUAAAAUCACGUGACUUUGGCCAGUUUGAAACAAGCUCCGAACCACUGAUUCGAAACAAAAGAUUCGUAAAUGUUUCGAAGCCUCAUGAAGCAGUGCUUCGAAAACGACCAUCACUACAUUACGAGGUCAUGUACACUGUGGUCAACUUUGUGGACGAUGAAGAGGUUUCUGGGUAAAGAUGAUAGAAAUAUAACGAAGUAACAGUGGAAGCUAAAACAUCAGACUGCUCUAGACACUGAAGAAAUUGAUGUCACUGCAAUCUGGCCAAAAUGAUACAACAAUAUUGAACUAGCCUACUGUAAUGAAGCUGCAGAACAACACAGAGACUCUGAGGACAUCAACACAGAAAAUGAAGGCUCCAAAGAGAUGUCUGUCCAGAUGAGGGUGCAUCAACUUUACCUUUGCUGACAACAGUUAACUUAACUCAAACCAUUUAAGGAAAUCGGUUGCCUUAAACCAUUAAGUUUUAAAAAACAUACAUUUGAGUACUGUGAACUUAAGUCUUGUGCAAUUAUGCACUUAUAUUUAGGUAGUGUGAACUUAAAUAUAAGUGCAUAACUGCAUGUGACUCAAUUUUUUUAAGUUCACAGUACUCAAAUCUAUGUGUUUUAAAACUUGAAUGGUUUAAUGCAACCGGUUUUCUUAAAUGUGAGAAAUGACAGUGUUACAGUGAGAAAUGUUUGAUUAAUUCCAAGACAGAGCUCUGCUAUUGAAUCUACACUGCAAAAAAUCACUUUCUAACUUAGGAUUUUUAUCUUGUUUUCAGUAGAAAAACUAAAAAUUCUUAAAUCAAGAUGUAUUUUCUUGAUGAGCAAAAUUACCUUAGAAAAUAUGUGUAGUUUUUAGACAAAAAUAUACAAUUUAAGUAAAUUUGUGCCUAAACAAGCAAAAAUAUCUUAACAGUGGAGUGAGAAAAUUGUGCUUAAAUUAAGUUUUUAUGAAAAAAGACAACGUAAGAUUUUUUUUCUCACACCAUUGGCAGAUAUUUUUGCUUGUUUUAAGCACAAAUUCACUUAAAGUGUGUGUGUGUUUAUUUAUUUUGUCUAAAACUAGACUUAUUUUCUUAGGUCAUUUUGUUCAUCAAGAAAAAGCAUUUUAAUUUAAAUAAUAUUUCUACUAAAAACAAGACAAUAAUACUAUGUAAGAGUCAUUUUUUGCAGUGUAGGACUGAUUUCUUGAAGCAAGAUCAAUAUAGUUGUUGUUCAUUUUAUUUAGAUAUUUACUACAUUACAGUGGCAGCUGGUGACUUGUGUUUUGUGAGCACUUGAUGCGAAGUUUGUCACAACAUGUAUACAGCCCGUCAUUUGUGUGGUUCCCAAUUUCAAAAUAUGUGUUCUGCGUGUCGAGUGCGUGUAUGUGCAUCACGUGUUUUGACUAAACACGUGAUGCACAUGGUUUACAUGAAGCAACAAAAACAUUUUAAAAACACAAGCAACACACAUGACACUCCGAACUAUGAGGGGGCCGUACAAGCCAAAAUUCAUUCUGGCACUCUCACUCACAUACAUUCUUCUUUCACACACAUACAUCCUCCUUUUACACACAUACAUCCUCCCUUCACUUACAUACAUUUUCCUUUCACUUAUAUACAUUUCUACUCUCUCACACACAUAUAUUCUCCUUUUACACACAUACAUUCUUCUUUCACACACAUACAUUCUUCUUUCACAUACAUACAUUUCUACACUCUCACACACAUACAUUCUGCUUUCAUACGCAAACAUUCUCCCUUCACAUACAUACAUACAUUUCUACUUUCUCACAAACACAUACAUUCUCCUUUCACAUACAUAUAUUUUUACUCUCACACACAUACAUUCUUCUUUUGCAUGCAUAUAUUUUUACUCUCUCACACACAUACAUUCUCCUUUCACAUACAUAUAUUUUACUCUCGGUCACAUAUAUACAUUCUCCUUUCACAUACAUACAUUUCUACUCUUACACACAUACAUUCCCCUUUUACAUACAUACACUUCUACUUUUUCACACACAUACAUUCUCCUUUCACGUACAUAUAUUUUUACUCUCUCUCACAUAGACAAAUUCUUCUUUUACAUACAUAUAUAUUUCUACUCUCACACACAUACAUUCUCCUUACACAUGCUUUUUCUGUUGGCAUCCAUGACUUCCUCUUUUAGCAGGAGGUCACUCUUAGACCAGGAAAUACAUGUGCAAGAAUUGAUCAGCUCUUCCUCACAACUUAACAUGAUGCUAUUUAAAGUCAUCCUGUUUUCUUUUCAAGUACACUUUUGGUAAAAAUUAGCAAUGAUCAUGACAUCAGACAAUUUUUUUAUAAUGUGCUGUAAUGUACUGAACAAAUGCAAACGAUAGCAGAUGAUUCUUUAGGGCAUGAUAGGCUGGCAUAGAGAACUUUGUGAUCAUGCAGACUGUUGGGACUAAAUCAUACAAAUAAAGAAAAGGUAAUUUGGGGAAAUAAUUGUCAAAGACAUGUAUUAUAAUGGCAACAGAAAAGGUAACUAAUGAAUA
Long non-coding RNA from Paramisgurnus dabryanus, 2628 nucleotides. RefSeq lists it as uncharacterized. Lineage: Eukaryota; Metazoa; Chordata; Actinopteri; Cypriniformes; Cobitidae. The record is from RefSeq and is a predicted model, not a curated record.